Molecule: long non-coding RNA, 480 nt
Filed under: Capra hircus (goat)
Lineage: Eukaryota; Metazoa; Chordata; Mammalia; Artiodactyla; Bovidae
Description: lncRNA (ENSCHIG00010007722.1)
Source: RNAcentral
CCGAACACGACACACACAUAGCCUCCUUUGCAGAUGAGGUGGUCCAUCUGAAGUACACGGAAGUCACUGGGCGAGAGGCAGGUUCUGGGGAACUACUUUAUAAAGGGCACUAACAAAUUUGGAAGGCACCCUUUGUGCUCUUCCCUGCUCCCUUCUUCUUCCCAGUAGGAGCACUGGCAGCCACCAUGGGCCAUGAGGGGAAGGUGCAGAGGGAAGCCACAUAGGAAGGAUGGCAGAGCAGAAAGUUGUAAUGGCAUGGGGGAAAGAAGGAGUCCUCUGAAGAACAUGCUUGUAAGAAACUGUCAUGGAAUGGAGUGAGCUGAGCUUUUUUUUGUUGGGAGAGGUGGUGUGUGUGUGCAUAUUUAGAAGCAGAGCUCUAAUAGUCAGCACAGAAGAGGAAAAAUUGAGCUGAGGGCUAUCACUAGCAAUCCUCCUCCUCUAACAAAGUUCGGCCUCUUCUUUCAAUAACAGCUCUUUUGU